This 253-nucleotide ribosomal RNA is filed under the name uncultured bacterium. RNAcentral's name for it is "partial 16S ribosomal RNA". It matches the Rfam family "Bacterial small subunit ribosomal RNA", at positions 524 to 776 of the family's 1533-position model. The record is from RNAcentral.
UACGUAGGGACCGAGCGUUGUCCGGAAUCAUUGGGCGUAAAGAGCGUGUAGGCGGCCAAUUAAGUCCUGCGUGAAAUCUCGGGGCUCAACCCCGAGCGGUCGUGGGAAACUGGUUGGCUAGAGUGCGGGAGAGGAGAGUGGAAUUCCUGGUGUAGCGGUGAAAUGCGCAGAUAUCAGGAGGAAUACCCAUAGCGAAGGCAGCUCGCUGGGACGUUACUGACGCUGAGGCGCGAAAGCGUGGGGAGCGAACAGG